This 221-nucleotide ribosomal RNA is filed under the name uncultured bacterium. Its description in RNAcentral is "partial 16S ribosomal RNA". It matches the Rfam family "Bacterial small subunit ribosomal RNA", at positions 30 to 248 of the family's 1533-position model. The record is from RNAcentral.
AUUGAACGCUGGCGGCAGGCUUAACACAUGCAAGUCGAACGGUAACAUGGGUGCUUGCACCUGAUGACGAGUGGCGGACGGGUGAGUAAUGUAUGGGGAUCUGCCGAAUGGAAUGGGACAACAGUUGGAAACGACUGCUAAUACCGUAUAAUGUCGCGAGACCAAAGUGUGGGACUUUCGGGCCGACCAUGCCAUUUGUAUGAACCCACUAUGGGAGUUAG